AAAGGCGAAAAGAACCCCUGUGAGGGGAGUGAAAUAGAACCUGAAACCGUGUACGUACAAGCAGUAGGAGCACCUUCGUGGUGUGACUGCGUACCUUUUGUAUAAUGGGUCAGCGACUUAUAUUCAGUGGCAAGGUUAACCGUAUAGGGGAGCCGUAGCGAAAGCGAGUCUUAACUGGGCGCUCAGUCUCUGGAUAUAGACCCGAAACCGGGUGAUCUAGCC
Molecule: ribosomal RNA, 222 nt
Filed under: Vibrio cholerae
Lineage: Bacteria; Pseudomonadati; Pseudomonadota; Gammaproteobacteria; Vibrionales; Vibrionaceae
Description: partial 23S ribosomal RNA
Rfam family: Bacterial large subunit ribosomal RNA
Source: RNAcentral